CUUCCUCCCAUACCCGGAUCCAUAUCCCUCCCCCUCCUCAUCCCGUUUCGGCCGGCCGCCAUACCCAGCGCCACCCCCGUACUCAGCGCCGCCUCCGUACUCCGGCUUCGGCUGCGGGCGCCUGCCGUACUCCACGGCGGGUGCCUCCUGCUUCGGGUGGAAGCCGUACGCCGGCUGCGGCCCAGCCUGGUGACGGCCGUAGCGAUCGGCGUCUGCGGUGUCCGGAUCGUAGGCGGAGGGCUUGGAUCCGGAUGAGUAGUUGGGGCGAUUGUAGUCGACGGAGCCGGCGGAGGAGAGCGGGUAGCAGAUCUCGUCGGAGGGCGGGAGGGGGCGGCCGAAGGUGAGGGCGAGGUCGUAGCCGCCGCCAUAGGGGGUGGGGUCGUAGUCGUCGAAGUCGUCGACGUCCUCGUCGUCUCUGCCGACGUGGUAGUAAGACAUGGUCGGAG
RNAcentral lists this unclassified non-coding RNA (446 nucleotides) under Hevea brasiliensis (rubber tree). Lineage: Eukaryota; Viridiplantae; Streptophyta; Magnoliopsida; Malpighiales; Euphorbiaceae. The record is from RNAcentral.